RNAcentral lists this ribosomal RNA (74 nucleotides) under Megamonas funiformis. RNAcentral describes it as "partial 16S ribosomal RNA". The stretch from base 1 to 66 matches the Rfam family "Bacterial small subunit ribosomal RNA", at positions 1468 to 1533 of the family's 1533-position model. Lineage: Bacteria; Bacillati; Bacillota; Negativicutes; Selenomonadales; Selenomonadaceae. The record is from RNAcentral.
GCGAUGAUUGGGGUGAAGUCGUAACAAGGUAGCCGUAUCGGAAGGUGCGGCUGGAUCACCUCCUUUCUAAGGAG